Molecule: ribosomal RNA, 491 nt
Filed under: uncultured bacterium
Lineage: Bacteria
Description: partial 16S ribosomal RNA
Rfam family: Bacterial small subunit ribosomal RNA
Source: RNAcentral
UUGCACGCUGGCGGCAUGCUUUACACAUGCAAGUCGAACGGUAACAGGCCUUCGGGUGCUGACGAGUGGCGAACGGGUGAGUAAUGCAUCGGAACGUGCCCAGAGGUGGGGGAUAACGCAGCGAAAGCUGUGCUAAUACCGCAUGUGAUCUGAGGAUGAAAGCGGGGGACCAAGCAGCAAUGUUUGGCCUCGCGCCUCUGGAGCGGCCGAUGUCAGAUUAGGUAGUUGGUGGGGUAAAGGCCUACCAAGCCGACGAUCUGUAGCUGGUCUGAGAGGACGACCAGCCACACUGGGACUGAGACACGGCCCAGACUCCUACGGGAGGCAGCAGUGGGGAAUUUUGGACAAUGGGCGCAAGCCUGAUCCAGCAAUGCCGCGUGCGGGAAGAAGGCCUUCGGGUUGUAAACCGCUUUUGUACGGAACGAAAAGGCUCUGGCUAAUACCUGGGGCUGAUGACGGUACCGUAAGAAUAAGCACCGGCUAACUACGUG